RNAcentral lists this ribosomal RNA (609 nucleotides) under uncultured bacterium. RNAcentral's name for it is "bacterial SSU rRNA". It matches the Rfam family "Bacterial small subunit ribosomal RNA", at positions 79 to 684 of the family's 1533-position model. The record is from RNAcentral.
CUUGCUUCUCUUGAGAGCGGCGGACGGGUGAGUAAUGCCUAGGAAUCUGCCUGGUAGUGGGGGAUAACGUUCGGAAACGGACGCUAAUACCGCAUACGUCCUACGGGAGAAAGCAGGGGACCUUCGGGCCUUGCGCUAUCAGAUGAGCCUAGGUCGGAUUAGCUAGUUGGUGGGGUAAUGGCUCACCAAGGCUACGAUCCGUAACUGGUCUGAGAGGAUGAUCAGUCACACUGGAACUGAGACACGGUCCAGACUCCUACGGGAGGCAGCAGUGGGGAAUAUUGGACAAUGGGCGAAAGCCUGAUCCAGCCAUGCCGCGUGUGUGAAGAAGGUCUUCGGAUUGUAAAGCACUUUAAGUUGGGAGGAAGGGUUGUAGAUUAAUACUCUGCAAUUUUGACGUUACCGACAGAAUAAGCACCGGCUAACUCUGUGCCAGCAGCCGCGGUAAUACAGAGGGUGCAAGCGUUAAUCGGAAUUACUGGGCGUAAAGCGCGCGUAGGUGGUUUGUUAAGUUGGAUGUGAAAUCCCCGGGCUCAACCUGGGAACUGCAUUCAAAACUGACUGACUAGAGUAUGGUAGAGGGUGGUGGAAUUUCCUGUGUAGCGGUGA